Molecule: ribosomal RNA, 389 nt
Filed under: Tabellaria flocculosa
Lineage: Eukaryota; Bacillariophyta; Fragilariophyceae; Tabellariales; Tabellariaceae
Description: partial small subunit ribosomal RNA
Rfam family: Eukaryotic small subunit ribosomal RNA
Source: RNAcentral
GCUUGUCUCAAAGAUUAAGCCAUGCAUGUCUUAGUGUAAAUAACUCUUAUGAAACUGCGAACGGCUCAUUAUAUCAGUUAUAGUUUAUUUGAUAGUCCCUUACUACUUGGAUAACCGUAGUAAUUCUAGAGCUAAUACAUGCGUCAAUACCCUUCUGGGGUAGUAUUUAUUAGAUUGAAACCAACCGCUUCGGCGUGAUGUGGUGAUUCAUAAUAAAUUUGCGAAUCGCAUGGCUUUACGCCGGCGAUGGAUCAUUCAAGUUUCUGCCCUAUCAGCUUUGGAUGGUAGGGUAUUGGCCUACCAUGGCUUUAACGGGUAACGGAGAAUUAGGGUUCGAUUCCGGAGAGGGAGCCUGAGAAAUGGCUACCACAUCCAAGGAAGGCAGCAGG